Molecule: ribosomal RNA, 254 nt
Filed under: uncultured bacterium
Lineage: Bacteria
Description: partial 16S ribosomal RNA
Rfam family: Bacterial small subunit ribosomal RNA
Source: RNAcentral
UACAGAGGUCUCAAGCGUUGUUCGGAUUCAUUGGGCGUAAAGGGCGCGUAGGCGGCGGGGUCAGUCGGGGGUGAAAUCUUGGGGCUUAACCCCGAAACGGCACUCGAAACUGCCCGGCUGGAGGGCCGGAGAGGAGAUCGGAAUUCACGGUGUAGCAGUGAAAUGCGUAGAGAUCGUGAGGAAGACCCGUGGCGAAGGCGGAUCUCUGGACGGCUAACUGACGCUGAGGCGCGAAGGCCAGGGGAGCAAACGGG